Pseudomyrmex gracilis is the source of this 3253-nucleotide RNA transcript. It is a transcript of the gene named cysteine-rich hydrophobic domain-containing protein 2, with no coding region annotated. The transcript has 5 exons. The record is from RefSeq and is a predicted model, not a curated record. Lineage: Eukaryota; Metazoa; Arthropoda; Insecta; Hymenoptera; Formicidae.
GCGUCGCGCGUCGUCGACCUGGCCAGUUUUGCGACAGAACGAGGUGCGUACACACGCACGCACGCACGCACGCUGUUGUGUCAUCAACGCAGACACACACACACACGUACGCACAGAAAAUAACAAACGUCCGUCGCGAGCACGUUUCCUUCUGCGAGAAGAAACCGCGUUGGAUUUCGCAUCGCGAUGGCGGAUUUCGACGCGAUCUACGAGGAAGAGGAGGAGAACGAGCAGAAUCUGGAAGAGCAUUACGUCGCGAUGGUGCCGGACCCGAUCGUCAUCCGCGGAGCUGGCAAUAUGACAGUGUUUGGUCUCAGUAAUCGCUUCGAAUCGGAGUUUCCUAAUGGCCUCAUGUCUCGUGUGGCUCCAGAAGAGUUUAAGGCAACUGUUAUGAGAAUAAACAGUGUGUUAAAAAAAACUUUACCUGUUAAUGUUAAGUGGUUAUUUUGCGGUUGUGUAUGUUGCUGCUGUACUCUAGGAUGUUCAUUGUGGCCUGUCAUUUGUUUGAGCAAAAGGACUCAGCACUCGUUAAACAAACUGUUGGAAUGGGAAAACAGUAGGCUCUACCAUAAACUGGGAUUGCAUUGGAGAUUGGCAAAACAAAGAUGCGAUAGCUCAUCUAUGAUGGAAUAUGUUCUUUUAAUAGAAUUUAUUCCAAAAAUUCCAAUCUACAAACCCGAUUAAGUAAUCGGGUGUUGGACGUAAAGCAGUGCAAUUAAUAAAAUUCAUCAAAUUAAAUCUCUAAUAGUCAAGUGUGCAAUCGACACGUAAAGAAGUACAGAGAAGCUAAAGUGCCGCUAGGAGAUGAUAUAGUGGCUGUGAUCGAGAACAAAAGACUAGUUUCCAAUUCGAAUGUGCAUCGCAAUCAACUACUACACUAUAACGCUCUCGUGCUUUAUCUCAUGAGGUUCUACAUCAAAGCCUUAUAUAGAAGAUGUCGGAUUUUUACACUCUGAGUGUUUCUUUAAUAUUUGUACUUAUUCCGUAAAGUAACUAAGUCAAAGUCAACAAAACCGUUUAAUUAGAUACAUCUGUGUCACGUAGAUUUAAUAAGAAUGACGUAUUGCCAUAUUUCUUCUUGAUUUCAAUUAUAUGUAUGAGAAUCGUGUGCAUAAUCAUACAUUUGUCAUGUAAUGUGUUCUGUGAAAUGUUACAAAGAACAGAAUUAUCAAUUUUGCUGAAGAGGAAAACAGUUUUGUAAAAACGAUUAUACUCUCUCGAUGAUCUGUUAAAUAGUGAAUAAUUUGUUGUUGAAUGAUAAAAAAACGUUUUAUAUAUGAGCUAGAUUGUGAAAAUUUAUAUUAUUCGAACAAAUCAUUAUCUCAUUAUUGUGUUUUUUUUUUAGAUAUUGCUAAUGUUCUCUUAAUAGAUUUGUUGAACAAAUCUAUGUAUAGGAAACGGAAAUGUACUGUGUAAUGGAACCAUGCGUAGAAAUGCUUUUUUCAAUCUGGUUAUCUGGUUCUCUUGAUAGCGCGUAAUAAAAAUAAGGCUGUGUCAAAUUUGACAAAGUGAGGAAUAGUUUUUUUUUCUUUUUUUUUUAAUGAGGGAUUUUUCUAAAUCCUAUUUACAAAAAAAAACUAAUUCCUCGCUUCACAAGAUCACACACUUAAUCUUGCUGACGAUUAAAAACCAAUACGUAUCCUAUUCGCGUUUUUAAUCAACACACGGUCUAAUUAUUCUUUUUCAUCAAACACUUUCUCCAAGUAACGCAGAAAAAUACAAGUAAUGUCACUACAUUUAGUUUGCAACUAAUUCAAUUAGUUCGUAAUUUAUUUUUUAGAGUACGUGUAAGCAUCGACUAAGAAUUUAAUUAAGUCUACAUAUAUAGCUUUGUAUACAUAGUAUACAAAGUCAUUAUAGUCACAUGAUUUCCCCCCUCCCCCCAUGUAGAAAUUUUAAACUAUGUAAACUCUGUAAGAAAAAUGAAAUUGCUUUGCUGGUCAGUAUCUCACACACACAUAGAUUUUAAAUCUACAAGCAACAUAGCAAUUAAUCGGUGUUAAUUGUAAAAAAAAACAAUUCUGUUAGAAUAAUUGUAACAACGUUACGAUUAUUCAUUAACGUUUUUUUUUAUGUCAAUGGCGUAAUUACAAAGUUUGAAAAUACGAUCUUCUUUAUUUUGAAGAAAAUCAGAAAAAUUGCGAACAUUCUGCUUGGUGGCACACAGUUUACAUAAUUUACGUAGACUUAAUUAGUAGAUAUUCAUGCGUAAUUUAACGCAUAGUUUUGAAGGAUUGAACGACAUUCAUUUUUCAGAAACUGUGCAUUUUGCGAGCAAGUACACCUCUAUGUAAUUCAAAACUAUUUUUCAAUCUCACGUUGUUUUAUAUGAAGAAAAAUUCAGCUAAUACGUUAUACUACAUGUGUAAAUGAAAAGAAAUAUCAAAGCAUUACAAAGCAACACAACAAAGAUCUUUCUAUUUGCUCAUAUCGUUCAGUGCAUCGCACAUUUUCAUGAGUGUCUAUGUGUAUGGAGAUUAAACAAGAUGUAUUUAUACUAAAUUAUAAAACCGAACAGAUGUGUGUAUACAUAUACAUAUGUAUAUAUACAUAUAUAUAUAUAUAUAUAUGUAUGUACAUGUAUACAUGUACAUUAUCGCAUGGAAACCAAUAUUAUCGAACAUUGGUUUGCAUCUUCAAAUCUGUUUUUUUUUGUUGUUAAUUGAAAAAGGAUUGAAUGUACAUAAUAUAUAGUAUAUUCUCAAGGAACGGAGAUAUUUUUUCAGUAGGGAAACGACAAGUUGAAUUUAUAUAAAAUAUCGAUGUUAUAUAUUGCGCCGCAGUACAUAGAAAUGUAAUAAUUUAUAUUAUAUAUAUAUAUAUUGACGAAGGUUGUAGACAUGACAAGUAUGCGAAGUAGGGCUUCCAAGAUUCGGGUGUCCAAGAUCGGUUUUGAGAAAAAAAAACUCAACUUUUCACAUACUAUUUCGAACAUUUGAGUGAUCUCACUCAAUUUGAGACGUCACAAUUUUACUCGCUCGUCCGAAUACUCGGAUAGCGUUUUCUAACAAAUCUUGGAGCCCUUUUGCGAACCAUCGGAAGAAGAGAGAAAAAUAAUUUAUAUAUUUUUGCUAGAUAGAAAAAAAAAAAACUAUGUACGAGAAGAGAAUAUUAUGAAUAAUGAUUAUAUCGACAAUUAAAAAAGAGAAUUCACGCGACUUGAUGCCGGACAUGUUAAACAAAUUCUAUAAAUUUAUGUAUGUUACAAAAAUUGAAUAUUUUUUUCUGGUGUAAAUAUACAUCGCACGCAAAA